This 2037-nucleotide ribosomal RNA is filed under the name uncultured soil eukaryote. RNAcentral's name for it is "partial small subunit ribosomal RNA". It matches the Rfam family "Eukaryotic small subunit ribosomal RNA". The record is from RNAcentral.
ACGCUUCAUUCAAAUUUCUGCUUUAUCAAUUAACGUUGGUACGGUAUUGGCGUACCAUGGUUAUAACGAGUAAGGAAUUCUAUUACCUGUUUGAUCAUGACAGUUUUAUAUGCUUCUCUAAAAGAUUAAGCCAUGCAAAUGUAAGAAAGUACUACUUGAAUUAGUAAAUCGGUGAAAGGUUUUUUAUCAACGCUUCAUUCAAAUUUCUGCUUUAUCAAUUAACGUUGGUACGGUAUUGGCGUACCAUGGUUAUAACGAGUAAGGAAUUCUAUGGGAAUGAUUCCUGAGAUUUCGCCUGAGAAAUAGCGAAAAUAUCUAAGGAUAGCAGCAGGCGCGAAAAUUACCCAAUGCAAAAACUGCGAGGUAGUGACAAGAAAUAACGACAGGAUUAUUUCAGUUAUAAAAAUAACUGAAAACCUGAUUGCAAUGAGUACAAUUUAAAAAUAUUAAUUAGAAUCAAUUUGAGGGCAAGUUCUGGUGCCAGCAGCCGCGGUAAUUCCAGCUCAAAUAGUGUAUAUUAAAAUUGUUGUAAUUAAAAAGUUUGUAGUUUGAAGUUAUCACAAUUCAAUAAAAAUGGAUGGAAGUAACGAUUUAUUUCUGUCCAAUGAGUUGUGAUAUUAAGCGAACAAAGAAUCAUCUAUUCUCUGAAAGGAGGAUGGGUGAAAUCUAUUCUUUGUUCAUUUUACCAUAAAUAAAAUAGAGUGUUUAAAGCAUGUCAUUUAUUGACAAUUGAAUAAUUUAGUAUGGGAUAAUGAAAGACGAGAGAAAAAAGAGAGUACAUCUCGCAGCAUCAAGGAGAAUUCGUUCUUCUGUGGUGUUGGUCUUUUUUCUCUAAUGAUUAAUAGGGACAAUUGGGGCAAUUAGUAUUUCUACUCGAGCGGUGAAAUGCAUAGACAGUAGAAAGACUAACUAAUGCGAAAGCAUCUUGCAAGGGUGUUUUCAUUAAUCAAGAACGAAAGUUUGGGGAUCGAAGAUGAUCAGAUACCGUUGUAGUCCAAUUUUUUCUUUACAGUAAAAAAUGACAACAAAAGAUAGGGAAGAAUUGUAGAAUUACAAUUCUAAAUUGUUAAAAAUUUAAAGGUACUAAGAAAUGAGGAGUAGGGUUUUUUUACUCUACUUUCUCAUAAUAGUUGUCUUUCCCUGAAUUUUGUAAGAAAUUAAGAGUCUUUAGUCUUUGGGGGUAGUAUGCAUCGCAAGAUUGAAACUUAAAUGAAUUGACGGAAGAGCACCACCAGGUGUGGAAUAUGCGGUUUAAUUUGACUCAACACGGGGAAACUCACCAGGACAGGACAUAAUAAGGAUUGACAGAUUGAAAGCUCUUUCAUGAUUGUAUGGAAAGUGGUGCAUGGCCGAAGUUAGUUCGUGGUUUGAAUUGUCUGCUUAAUUGCGUUAACGAACGAGACCUUUUGAAAUAAAUAGCGGUCAUUAGUUCUUGCAAAAGAAUGGGGUCACCUAUAGAAGUAAUAAUUGGGUCAAACUAAUUAUCUUCUAUAUGUCGUUGAUCCUAUUUAUAGGACUAAUCUUGACCAUUCAUGAACAGAGGCGUCAAAAACCUCCUUCAUGAAUCUAAUCAAAAUAUGGCUUCUUAUUUCGACUAUUGAUGUCCAAUCAAUGUAAGUUAAAGUCAAUUUCAGGUCUGUGAUGCCCUUAGAUGCCCUGGGCGACACGCGUAUUACUAUAACAUAGAUAAAGGGUUUAUUAAAUUGUUGGGAAAGAGAAGGAGGAGUCAAAUCUUUCUUCUUUUUUCUGACAUUUAAAUUGCUUUCUAGAAAUGGAUGGCUAAUCCUUUAGGAAUCUAUUUUGUUUUACUUGGGAUAGAUGCUUGUAAUUUUUCAUCUUCAACUUGGAAUACCUAGUAAUCGUAGUUCAACAAACUACGAUGAUUACGUCCCUGCUCUUUGUACACACCGCCCGUCGCUUCUACCGAUUGAAUUGUCCGAUGAGCUGUAAGGAGAAUGAGGAUUGGGAUUUAUCUCAGUUUUUGUUCAAAUUACAUCAAAUCUUACAAUUUAGAGGAAGAAGAAGUCGUAACAAGGU